GACGAACGCUGGCGGCGUGCCUAAUACAUGCACGUAGGACGCAGUUGCGACCGGGUGAGUAACUCGUGGGUAACUACCUAUUAGAGGGGGGUAACUCGUGGAAACGAUAGCUAAUACCGCAUACUAGUAGAUGGACCUGCUUUGUAUUAGCUAGUAGGUAGGGUAAAGGCCUACCUAGGCAACGAUACAUGGCCGACCUGGGAGGGUGAACGGCCACACUGGGACGUAGACCCGGCCCAGACUCCUACGGGAGGCAGCAGUAGGGAAUCUUCGGCAAUGGGGGGAACCCUGACCGAGCAACGCCGCGUGAGUGAAGAAGGUUUUCGGAUCGUAAAGCUCUGUUGUUAAGGAAGCGGUACUUAACCAGAAAGGGACGGCUAACUACGUGCCAGCCGCCGCGGUAAUAC
This 407-nucleotide ribosomal RNA is filed under the name uncultured bacterium. Its description in RNAcentral is "partial 16S ribosomal RNA". It matches the Rfam family "Bacterial small subunit ribosomal RNA", at positions 28 to 526 of the family's 1533-position model. The record is from RNAcentral.